UCGGGUUAAUAUUCCCGAACCAGCUUGGAUGUGUUGACGUCAGCAGGGACGAAGAAGGAUAGCUCAGCCGGGCGAUGGUGCCGGUUCAAGCUCGUAGAUGGAUUCCCUAGGACCGUACCGGACAAACGGGGGAUCGAAACAUCGAGAAGCGAUGAGGGAUAGACCGCCUCGGCGGAAAGUCAAACUGAGUGAUUCCAUGCUUCCUAGAAAAGCUGCGGGCCGAGCAUUCCGGCUGUCCGUACCGCAAACCGACUCAGGUGGGCGGGAAGAGCAUUCCAAGGCGUUUGAGAGAACCGUGGUUAAGGAACUAGGCAAAUUGACACCGUAACUUCGGGAUAAGGUGUGCCUCCGAGGUGGAGCUGAACAGGCCGAGCCAGAAGAGGUCGCAGAGAAUAGGGGGUAGCGACUGUUUACCAAAAACACAGGUCUGUGCGAAGUCAUGAAGACGACGUAUACGGACUGACGCCUGCCCGGUGCUGGAAG
This 483-nucleotide ribosomal RNA is filed under the name uncultured Stichotrichia. RNAcentral's name for it is "partial Bacterial large subunit ribosomal RNA". It matches the Rfam family "Bacterial large subunit ribosomal RNA", at positions 1425 to 1875 of the family's 2925-position model. The record is from RNAcentral. Lineage: Eukaryota; Ciliophora; Spirotrichea.